UACGGGGGGGGCAAGCGUUGUUCGGAAUUACUGGGCGUAAAGGGCGCGUAGGCGGUUUGCUAAGUUGGAUGUGAAAACUCUGGGCUUAACCCAGAGCCUGCAUCCAAAACUGGCAAGCUGGAGUUUUGGAGGGGGAAGCGGAAUUCCUGGUGUAGCAGUGAAAUGCGCAGAUAUCAGGAGGAACACCGGUGGCGAAGGCGGCUUCCUGGACAAAAACUGACGCUGAGGCGCGAAAGCUAGGGGAGCAAACAGG
This 253-nucleotide ribosomal RNA is filed under the name uncultured prokaryote. Its description in RNAcentral is "partial 16S ribosomal RNA". It matches the Rfam family "Bacterial small subunit ribosomal RNA", at positions 524 to 776 of the family's 1533-position model. The record is from RNAcentral.